Molecule: ribosomal RNA, 352 nt
Filed under: uncultured bacterium
Lineage: Bacteria
Description: partial 16S ribosomal RNA
Rfam family: Bacterial small subunit ribosomal RNA
Source: RNAcentral
CCUACGGGAGGCAGCAGUGGGGAAUGUUGCGCAAUGAUCGUAAGAGUGACGCAGCGACGCCGCGUGAAUGACGAAGGCCUUCGGGUCGUAAAGUUCUUUCGACAGGGAAGAAAAUGCAGAUAAGUAACUGUGGAUGUAUUGACGGUACCUGUAUAAGCAGCCCAGGCUAACUCCGUGCCAGCAGCCGCGGUAAUACGGAGGGGGCGAGCGUUGGUCGGAGUGACUGGGCGUAAAGAGCACGUAGGCGGUGUUGUAAGUCAUUAGUCAAAGACUAGAGCUCAACUUUAGUAAGGCUAGUGAUACUCUAAUACUAGAGUAUCAGAGAGGCUUGCCGAAUUCCUGGUGUAGCGGU